RNAcentral lists this transfer RNA (74 nucleotides) under Caudoviricetes sp. RNAcentral describes it as "tRNA-Met". It matches the Rfam family "tRNA". Rfam says of the family: Transfer RNA (tRNA) molecules are approximately 80 nucleotides in length. Their secondary structure includes four short double-helical elements and three loops (D, anti-codon, and T loops). Further hydrogen bonds mediate the characteristic L-shaped molecular structure. tRNAs have two regions of fundamental functional importance: the anti-codon, which is responsible for specific mRNA codon recognition, and the 3' end, to which the tRNAs corresponding amino acid is attached (by aminoacyl-tRNA synthetases). tRNAs cope with the degeneracy of the genetic code in two manners: having more than one tRNA (with a specific anti-codon) for a particular amino acid; and 'wobble' base-pairing, i.e. permitting non-standard base-pairing at the 3rd anti-codon position. Lineage: Duplodnaviria; Heunggongvirae; Uroviricota; Caudoviricetes. The record is from RNAcentral.
GGACAUUUAGCUCAGCUGGUCAGAGCAUCCGGCUCAUAACCGGACGGUCCUGAGUUCGAAUCUCAGAAUGUCCA